AUCCAACUGACGAGUUCCAAACAGGACGAAACGCGCGUCCUGGAU
Molecule: non-coding RNA, 45 nt
Organism: Schistosoma haematobium
Lineage: Eukaryota; Metazoa; Platyhelminthes; Trematoda; Strigeidida; Schistosomatidae
Source: Rfam